Molecule: ribosomal RNA, 497 nt
Filed under: uncultured bacterium
Lineage: Bacteria
Description: partial 16S ribosomal RNA
Rfam family: Bacterial small subunit ribosomal RNA
Source: RNAcentral
GAUGAACGCUGGCGGCGUGCCUAAUACAUGCAAGUCGAGCGAACGGACGAGAAGCUUGCUUCUCUGAUGUUAGCGGCGGACGGGUGAGUAACACGUGGAUAACCUACCUAUAAGACUGGGAUAACUUCGGGAAACCGGAGCUAAUACCGGAUAAUAUUUUGAACCGCAUGGUUCAAAAGUGAAAGACGGUCUUGCUGUCACUUAUAGAUGGAUCCGCGCUGCAUUAGCUAGUUGGUAAGGUAACGGCUUACCAAGGCAACGAUGCAUAGCCGACCUGAGAGGGUGAUCGGCCACACUGGAACUGAGACACGGUCCAGACUCCUACGGGAGGCAGCAGUAGGGAAUCGUCCGCAAUGGGCGAAAGCCUGACGGAGCAACGCCGCGUGAGUGAUGAAGGUCUUCGGAUCGUAAAACUCUGUUAUUAGUGAAGAACAGAUGUGUAAGUAACUGUGCACAUCGUGACGGUACCUAAUCAGAAAGCCACGGCUAACUACGUG